UACGUAGGUGGCAAGCGUUGUCCGGAUUUAUUGGGCUUAAAGGGUGCGUAGGCGGCUUGAUAAGUCAGUGGUGAAAGCCGAUCGCUCAACGAUCGAAUUGCCAUUGAUACUGCCAGGCUUGAGUACAGUUGAGGUAGGCGGAAUUGACAGUGUAGCGGUGAAAUGCAUAGAUAUUGUCAAGAACACCGAUUGCGAAGGCAGCUUACUAAAGUGUAACUGACGCUGAGGCACGAAAGUGCGGGGAUCAAACAGG
This 253-nucleotide ribosomal RNA is filed under the name uncultured bacterium. RNAcentral's name for it is "partial 16S ribosomal RNA". It matches the Rfam family "Bacterial small subunit ribosomal RNA", at positions 524 to 776 of the family's 1533-position model. The record is from RNAcentral.